Molecule: ribosomal RNA, 465 nt
Filed under: uncultured bacterium
Lineage: Bacteria
Description: partial 16S ribosomal RNA
Rfam family: Bacterial small subunit ribosomal RNA
Source: RNAcentral
GACGAACGCUGGCGGCGUGCUUAACACAUGCAAGUCGAACGGAAAGGCCCUGCUUGCAGGGUACUCGAGUGGCGAACGGGUGAGUAACACGUGGGUGAUCUGCCCUGCACUUCGGGAUAAGCCUGGGAAACUGGGUCUAAUACCGGAUAGGAGCCAUUUUUAGUGUGAUGGUUGGAAAGUUUUUUCGGUGUAGGAUGAGCUCGCGGCCUAUCAGCUUGUUGGUGGGGUAAUGGCCUACCAAGGCGGCGACGGGUAGCCGGCCUGAGAGGGUGGACGGCCACAUUGCGACUGAGAUAAGGCCCAGACUCCGAAGGGAGGCAGCAGUGGGGAAUAUUGCACAAUGGGCACAAGCCUGAUGGAGCGACGCCGCGGGGGGGAUGACGGCCUUCGGGUUGGAAACUCCUUUCGCUAGGGACGAAGCUUUUUGUGACGGUACCUAGAGAAGAAGCACCGGCUAACUACGUG